This is a long non-coding RNA of Amphiprion ocellaris (clown anemonefish), 837 nucleotides long. The record is from Ensembl. NCBI's taxonomy places the organism in Eukaryota, Metazoa, Chordata, Actinopteri, Pomacentridae.
UCAUCUCCUCAGAGGCCCGUGAUCCCGUUGGGAGUAGAGCGGCUAGCGAGAUGCCGCAUCAUUGCUGUAUCUAACACGCAUUUUAUUUGCACUAGAAAAUAAAUUCGUUGGCUACAUCGACGUGGUCCUCUGCUGUCAUCGUUCCCCACACCCGCACACACAACGCAGAGAGAGGGUCAGAGAGUUGGGCCAGACCGGCUACAGUGGUGCCGUGAACCGGAUCCACGCUGCUUCAGACUGGUUCAGACUGGUUCGUCGUGAUUCCUGGAGCAGUGGAUCAACACCAGCUUGGACACCGGAGGUUGCCCUCAGUUACAUCCUGCAUCCAGAAGAUUUCCAGAGCAGUAUCUGCAUCGUUUUAGCUGAAUGGAGGAGCUUUGAAGGCCUCAGACACACAUCUGUGACUGUAAGACGUGAAUUUGGGACGUUCUGGAUCCGACUGGCGGCUUCCUGCUGUUGGAAAUGUCAUCGUCUCCAUUAACAGCAGAGAAACGCCGAAAAGGCUGCUGCUGCCUCACACUCGAUAGUGAUGAAGGAGGAAUUCAUCUGUGAGGUCAGUCGAUACCCACCGCGAUGGAGAGAGUGCUUUCAGAGGAAAACGAAGCCAUGAAUGGUGGAACACUCCGGUGGUGAAUCAUUAAUCGAUGUUGGGGGCAACGCCUGCAUAACGGCCAGAUAAUGAUGUGGGAACGAACCUGGUCAAUAAGAAAAUGACGGAGAGUCAUUAGGACUUCUUCUGCAGAGAGUUUACUCGUUUCUUUAACCCUUUUUCCCAACAUGACUGGAAUGUUGUCCAAAAAUUACUUCAGAUAUGUCCAAAGUUAUGUGAGAUUUGUC